CAAUACUUUGGUGGCGACCGGGGCACGGGUGCGUAACGCGUAUGUAACCUACCUAUAACAGGGGCAUAACACUGAGAAAUUGGUACUAAUUCCCCAUAAUAUUCGGAGAGGCAUCUCUCCGGGUUGAAAACUCCGGUGGUUAUAGAUGGACAUGCGUUGUAUUAGCUAGUUGGUGAGGUAACGGCUCACCAAGGCAACGAUACAUAGGGGGACUGAGAGGUUAACCCCCCACACUGGUACUGAGACGCGGACCAGACUCCUACGGGAGGCAGCAUG
RNAcentral lists this ribosomal RNA (276 nucleotides) under uncultured bacterium. RNAcentral describes it as "partial 16S ribosomal RNA". It matches the Rfam family "Bacterial small subunit ribosomal RNA", at positions 76 to 353 of the family's 1533-position model. The record is from RNAcentral.